GGAGUUGCCAGUGUUGCCUGUGGUGACAGCGGCAGUAGAGUUGCCAGGGCAGCCUGCAGUAACAGU
RNAcentral lists this microRNA precursor (66 nucleotides) under Dasypus novemcinctus (nine-banded armadillo). RNAcentral describes it as "miRNA (ENSDNOG00000046567.1)". Lineage: Eukaryota; Metazoa; Chordata; Mammalia; Cingulata; Dasypodidae. The record is from RNAcentral.